Molecule: ribosomal RNA, 253 nt
Filed under: uncultured bacterium
Lineage: Bacteria
Description: partial 16S ribosomal RNA
Rfam family: Bacterial small subunit ribosomal RNA
Source: RNAcentral
UACGAAGGGGGCUAGCGUUGUUCGGAAUUACUGGGCGUAAAGGGCGCGUAGGCGGUGUGUCAAGUCAGGCGUGAAAGCCCCGGGCUCAACCUGGGAACCGCGCUUGAGACUGGCACGCUAGAGUUCGGGAGAGGAUGGUGGAAUUCCCAGUGUAGAGGUGAAAUUCGUAGAUAUUGGGAAGAACACCGAUGGCGAAGGCAGCCAUCUGGACAGACACUGACGCUGAGGCGCGAAAGCGUGGGGAGCAAACAGG